Molecule: long non-coding RNA, 1261 nt
Organism: Balaenoptera acutorostrata (minke whale)
Lineage: Eukaryota; Metazoa; Chordata; Mammalia; Artiodactyla; Balaenopteridae
Exons: 3
Source: RefSeq, a predicted model, not a curated record
CCGAGGGCAGCAGCUUGUCUCGUGCAUUGCUGUCUUCCCAGUGCCUGGCCUGCGCUAAGCUGCUCAGUCAUCAUUUGUUGAAAUAAAGAAUGUACAGGACACAGAGACAGGCAUAUGCGGUCUGACCAUCACGUUCUCACACAGACGCACGUGGAGAGACACUGAGAGACCUGGAGGCAAACCUGAGGGCAGGGCCCCACAGUCCCAGACACCCGGCUGAUGGUCAGGGAUGCCCACCAGGACCGGCAGGCAGGCCCCCGAGCAUGGGCACGUGCACCAGCCCUGGCACAGGAAGUCCGUCCCAGGAGAAGCUGAAGGGCCUUCAGAACUUGGAGCUGUUCAACUUCGAGGAGUCACAGCAGCUGCGCUAACGGGAGCAGGAUUUUGAGUCGUUACCAGAGCUUGGCUACCUGGAUGGCUUCGAUGAUGGGGACCCUGCUCAACUCUGAGACUGAGGCCAACAUGCUGGGGGACGAAGAUUCCGAGGAGGACUAGGGGGAAGAUGGAGGAAGAGGAGACAGAUGCUGAGUGUGGUCCUGAGAAAAGGAGGUGAAGAGGUUCAAGAUGGGGCCUUGUGGGCUACUAGGAGAACAGGAUCUUCAUCCAGAGAGCUGAGGGGAGCUGUGGGGAGCAGUGGGGGUACUAUGCAGGGGAGGAGCAUGAUCGGAAGAGUCCCCUGUUUCCAGAGGUGUUCAGCCUGGGGGGAAGGGGUGGGGGGUUGCCUCCGGUGCUCCAGAACGGGGGCGGGAUUGAAGCCUGAGCUGGAAGGGAGCAAGAUGCAGGAAGUAAAGCCAGGCCCCGAGGAGUGGCUGCCAGCAACGCGUGGGACUUCCAUACCCUGGAGGCUUGACCCUCAGAGUUCUGGUGACAGCAGUGUGGGACCAGAUUUUGAACUCUGGCCCCAGCCUGACUUCCCAGGAAGGAUAGGAAGAAGAGGACCUAUAUGGGGGUGAGGUGAGAAGGGAGGGAGCACAGGCUCUCCAGGGCUGGCCUUGACCCACCCUCCUCCUCAGAGCUGUGGCAGGGGGAGAAGGGGAAGUGGGCAGCCGAAGACAGUGAGGAGGAGGAGGACGAUGAGGCCUGAGCCCCGGCUUGCCAGAGUGCCCAGCCCUGGGGGCCCUGGCACCUCCCUUCUACUGCUGGGACUGCCCCACCGCCCUGUCACCUCCCUGAGAGUCAGUGCUGGCCUCAGGACCUGGGGGGCUCCAGCUGGGCGGGCACUCCUGACUCCUGGAAGUUUUAAAAUAAAACUGGAAACUUC